RNAcentral lists this transfer RNA (74 nucleotides) under Bacteroidales bacterium. RNAcentral's name for it is "tRNA-Ala". It matches the Rfam family "tRNA". From Rfam's summary of the family: Transfer RNA (tRNA) molecules are approximately 80 nucleotides in length. Their secondary structure includes four short double-helical elements and three loops (D, anti-codon, and T loops). Further hydrogen bonds mediate the characteristic L-shaped molecular structure. tRNAs have two regions of fundamental functional importance: the anti-codon, which is responsible for specific mRNA codon recognition, and the 3' end, to which the tRNAs corresponding amino acid is attached (by aminoacyl-tRNA synthetases). tRNAs cope with the degeneracy of the genetic code in two manners: having more than one tRNA (with a specific anti-codon) for a particular amino acid; and 'wobble' base-pairing, i.e. permitting non-standard base-pairing at the 3rd anti-codon position. Lineage: Bacteria; Pseudomonadati; Bacteroidota; Bacteroidia; Bacteroidales. The record is from RNAcentral.
GGGGAUUUAGCUCAGUUGGCCAGAGCGUUUGACUCGCAGUCAAAAGGUCGGGGGUUCGACUCCCCCCAUCUCCA